Molecule: ribosomal RNA, 464 nt
Filed under: Rothia mucilaginosa
Lineage: Bacteria; Bacillati; Actinomycetota; Actinomycetes; Micrococcales; Micrococcaceae
Description: bacterial SSU rRNA
Rfam family: Bacterial small subunit ribosomal RNA
Source: RNAcentral
GACGAACGCUGGCGGCGUGCUUAACACAUGCAAGUCGAACGAUGAAGCCUAGCUUGCUAGGUGGAUUAGUGGCGAACGGGUGAGUAAUACGUGAGUAACCUACCUUUAACUCUGGGAUAAGCCUGGGAAACUGGGUCUAAUACCGGAUACGACCAAUCUCCGCAUGGGGUGUUGGUGGAAAGCGUUAUGUAGUGGUUAUAGAUGGGCUCACGGCCUAUCAGCUUGUUGGUGAGGUAACGGCUCACCAAGGCGACGACGGGUAGCCGGCCUGAGAGGGUGACCGGCCACACUGGGACUGAGACACGGCCCAGACUCCUACGGGAGGCAGCAGUGGGGAAUAUUGCACAAUGGGCGCAAGCCUGAUGCAGCGACGCCGCGUGAGGGAUGACGGCCUUCGGGUUGUAAACCUCUGUUAGCAGGGAAGAAGAGAGAUUGACGGUACCUGCAGAGAAAGCGCCGGCUAA